CAUGCCCGUUAGCUUUGUUGUUAAGCAGAAAAUUACGGUACAAAGACAGAUCGGCAGGUACUGCGGCUUAGAUAGGAAUAAUUCCAUGAAUAAACGACGAAACGACGACCCGACGCGGAGCAGGCCCGCCGCCAUGUUUAGAGGGGGCAGGGCCCACCUUCAGUGCAUCGUUUCGUUCCUGGUGCUGGCUGGCUGUUAUAUGCACACUGCCGCCUGCCACGGGUGGCUGUGAUGGUCUCCUCUGUCAAUUUUAUCUAUAGUUGGUCUUUUUUGUUAAUUUUGUUGGACACGUGGUCUUUUUGAAUAAAAAUACCUUGAUUCCUAGUGGCAUAUGUUCCCUGAAUCUGACCAGUCAUUUCUCUAGUGAUUUGUGCCAUCCUAUAGCUAUAUGUAUAAUCAAUCUCACAUGAGUAUUCCGUCAUUCAUUUAGCAAUAUAUAGAUGUAUUUGGUACCUAUCGUGCUGCGCAAACUGACAUAACUCCCUGACUUUACUACCGCAACAGACAUGCACUAUCUGCCGCACAACCUGCACCAGCUCGUAGUCCAUCGGGCCUUGUGCUUCUCAGUAAAAUAUUCAUGUCUACCAAAUCACCAAUGUAAAACAUAAUGCACCUAGCUUCUAGAGGAAGCAAACUUCUCAGUUUAUGCUUGUAAUUAACCCGUCCGGAAUUGUUGUACUCCCUUCGUCACAGUUUAAAAAGCGUGUAUGAAAAUUCUUUAGAA
Molecule: long non-coding RNA, 724 nt
Filed under: Hordeum vulgare
Lineage: Eukaryota; Viridiplantae; Streptophyta; Magnoliopsida; Poales; Poaceae
Description: long non-coding RNA (HVUL_LNC013951)
Source: RNAcentral